This 446-nucleotide ribosomal RNA is filed under the name uncultured bacterium. RNAcentral describes it as "partial 16S ribosomal RNA". It matches the Rfam family "Bacterial small subunit ribosomal RNA", at positions 338 to 795 of the family's 1533-position model. The record is from RNAcentral.
CCUACGGGUGGCAGCAGUCGAGAAUCAUUCACAAUGGGGGAAACCCUGAUGGUGCGACGCCGCGUGGGGGAAUGAAGGUCUUCGGAUUGUAAACCCCUGUCAUGUGGGAGCAAAUUAAAAAGAUAGUACCACAAGAGGAAGAGACGGCUAACUCUGUGCCAGCAGCCGCGGUAAUACAGAGGUCUCAAGCGUUGUUCGGAAUCACUGGGCGUAAGGCGUGCGUAGGCGGUUUCGUAAGUCGUGUGUGAAAGGCGCGGGCUCAACCCGCGGACGGCACAUGAUACUGCGAGACUAGAGUAAUGGAGGGGGAACCGGAAUUCUCGGUGUAGGAGUGAAAUGCGUAGAUAUCGAGAGGAACACUCGUGGCGAAGGCGGGUUCCUGGACAUUAACUGACGCUGAGGAACGAAGGCCAGGGGAGCGAAAGGGAUUAGAUACCCCAGUAGUC